Molecule: ribosomal RNA, 253 nt
Filed under: uncultured bacterium
Lineage: Bacteria
Description: partial 16S ribosomal RNA
Rfam family: Bacterial small subunit ribosomal RNA
Source: RNAcentral
UACGUAGGGGGCAAGCGUUGUCCGGAAUUAUUGGGCGUAAAGCGCGCGCAGGCGGUUUAUUAAGUCUGAUGUGAAAGCCCACGGCUCAACCGUGGAGGGCCAUUGGAAACUGGUAGGCUUGAGUGCAGGAGAGGAGAGCGGAAUUCCCGGUGUAGCGGUGAAAUGCGUAGAUAUCGGGAAGAACACCUAUGGCGAAGGCAGCUCUCUGGGACGGUACUGACGCUGAGACGCGAAAGCGUGGGGAGCGAACAGG